Molecule: ribosomal RNA, 253 nt
Filed under: uncultured bacterium
Lineage: Bacteria
Description: partial 16S ribosomal RNA
Rfam family: Bacterial small subunit ribosomal RNA
Source: RNAcentral
UACGGACGGUGCGAACGUUGCUCGGAAUCACUGGGCGUAAAGGGUGCGUAGGCGGGGUGUCCAGUCUAGUGUGAAAUCCCACGGCUAAACCGUGGAAUGGCCUUAGAUACUGAAGGCCUUGAGGGAGGUAGGGGCGAGCGGAAUUGCGGGUGGAGCGGUGAAAUGCGUUGAUAUCCGCAGGAACUCCGGUGGCGAAAGCGGCUCGCUGGACCUCUUCUGACGCUGAGGCACGAAAGCGUGGGGAGCAAACGGG